RNAcentral lists this ribosomal RNA (253 nucleotides) under uncultured bacterium. RNAcentral describes it as "partial 16S ribosomal RNA". It matches the Rfam family "Bacterial small subunit ribosomal RNA", at positions 524 to 776 of the family's 1533-position model. The record is from RNAcentral.
UACAGAGGGUGCGAGCGUUAAUCGGAAUUACUGGGCGUAAAGCGUGCGUAGACGGCUAUCUAAGUCGGGUGUGAAAGCCCAGGGCUCAACCUGGGAAUUGCAUUCGAGACUGAAUAGCUAGGGUACGGUAGAGGGAAGCGGAAUUUCCGGUGUAGCGGUGAAAUGCGUAGAUAUCGGAAGGAACAUCAGUGGCGAAAGCGGCUUCCUGGACCAGUACCGACGUUCAGGCACGAAAGCGUGGGGAGCAAACAGG